This 240-nucleotide unclassified non-coding RNA is filed under the name soil metagenome. Its description in RNAcentral is "partial contains 5.8S ribosomal RNA, internal transcribed spacer 2, and large subunit ribosomal RNA". The record is from RNAcentral.
AACCAUAGAAACCUGCGGAGUACCUGCGGAGGGAUCAUUAUAGUAUAUGGAAACUCCAUUCUAUAAACCCACUCUGCGUAUCUUGUAACUGUUGCUUCCAUGGGACUUGGUUCCGCCACACCGGCUUCACGGCUGGUGAGCGCCCAUGGAAGGAGAAACAAAACUCUUCUUUGAAAUGUAGUCAGUCUGAACAAGUUUUUAUAAACGUUAAAACUUUUAACAAUGGAUCUCAGAUCGGAA